This 1142-nucleotide ribosomal RNA is filed under the name Clostridioides difficile. Its description in RNAcentral is "partial 23S ribosomal RNA". It matches the Rfam family "Bacterial large subunit ribosomal RNA", at positions 683 to 1843 of the family's 2925-position model. Lineage: Bacteria; Bacillati; Bacillota; Clostridia; Peptostreptococcales; Peptostreptococcaceae. The record is from RNAcentral.
UUUAACUGAGCGUUCAGUUACUUGACGUAGACCCGAAACCGGGCGACCUACCCAUGAGCAGGAUGAAGCGAAAGUAAAAUUUCGUGGAGGUCCGAACCCACGAGCGUUGAAAAGCUCGGGGAUGACUUGUGGGUAGCGGUGAAAUUCCAAUCGAGCCCGGAGAUAGCUGGUUCUCCCCGAAAUAGCUUUAGGGCUAGCCUCAAGGUGAGAGAUACGGAGGUAGAGCACUGAAUGUCCUAGGGGGUAUUGCACCUACCGAAGACUAUCAAACUCCGAAUGCCGUCAUCUUAUACUUGGGAGUCAGACUGUGGGUGAUAAGAUUCAUAGUCGAAAGGGCAACAGCCCAGAUCGUCAGCUAAGGUCCCUAAAUGUAAGUUAAGUGGUAAAGGAUGUGGGAUUGCACAGACAACCAGGAUGUUGGCUUAGAAGCAGCCACUCAUUCAAAGAGUGCGUAAUAGCUCACUGGUCGAGUGAUCCUGCGCCGAAGAUUUCCGGGGCUAAAACUUACUACCGAAGCUACGGCAUCAGUAAUGAUGGGUAGGGGAGCUUCCCAUACGGGUUGAAGCAUGACCGUAAGGACAUGUGGACAGUAUGGGAGUGAGAAUGUUGGCAUGAGUAGCGAGAUGUGGGUGAGAAUCCCACAGGCCGUAAACCCAAGGUUUCCAGGGGAAGGUUCGUCCGCCCUGGGUUAGUCGGGACCUAAGCUGAGGCCGAAAGGCGUAGGUGAUGGACAACAGGUUGAUAUUCCUGUACUACCGAUAACCGUUUGAGAGAAGGGAUGACACAGUAGGAUAAGCUAAGCACACUGUUGGUUAUGUGUGCCCAAGCAUUGAGGCAGUCAAAGUAGGCAAAUCCGCUUUGAUAAUGCUGGGAUGUGAUGGGGAGCGAAAUUUAGUAGCGAAGUAGCUGAUUUCACACUGUCAAGAAAAGUCUCUAUCGAGGUUAAAGGUACCCGUACCGCAAACCGACACAGGUGGGUGAGGAGAGUAUCCUAAGGCCAGCGAGAGAACUGUUGUUAAGGAACUCGGCAAAAUGACCCCGUAACUUAGGGAUAAGGGGUGCCACCAUCAGGUGGCCGCAGAGAAUAGGCCCAAGCGACUGUUUACCAAAAACAUAGGUUUCUGCUAAGUCGCAAGACGAUG